Molecule: ribosomal RNA, 118 nt
Organism: Pteropus vampyrus (large flying fox)
Lineage: Eukaryota; Metazoa; Chordata; Mammalia; Chiroptera; Pteropodidae
Source: Ensembl
GACUAUGGCCAUGCUAUCCUGAACACACUGAUCUCAUCUGAUCUCGGAAGUUAGGCAGGGUCAGGCCUAGUUAAUACUUGGAUGGAAGACAACCUAGGAAGAUCAGGUACUAUAGGUG